CAAAAAUAUUCUGUAAACGGAAAAAUGUAGAUGUAGAGAAGAACUAAGCCACAUCUGUCGAGGGCCCUGCACUUGCCAGAUCGCCUCACUCCAGCAACAACGUGGACCAUAGCAUCUCACUUCUAGAACCCUUGUCACUGUUUCAAAGGUCAUGAGCUACAAAGUUGAUUUACUGACCCAUGAAUGGGUCACAACCCGCAGUUUGGAAACAGCUGGAUGGACCCCCACCUGUGCUUUCCAGUUUCUCCUAGAGCCUCAGGGCCCCAAGAAGGCAGUGUGGUCUCUGCAGCCAGGUCCUCUCCUGGGAGAAACACUUCAACUUUUGCAAAAGAUUCAUUAAUUCAUCACCAUGGUGCCCAGAAAAAAAAACGCAAAAGAGAAGACUCAAGUUGUGGCCGACCCAAGGUGGCUGCAAACUGUUUGACAUUUUCCUCGUUGAGAGGUGGGGGUCUAAGUCCCCUCCCUUGAAAUUAGGCAGGCCCUCUGACUGCCUGACCAACAGAAAUAGCGUGGAAGCGACACUGUACCAGUUUUUGAGGCUAAGUCUGAAGAGACUGGCAGUUCCCACUUGCUGUCUUCUGGGAAUAAUUGUUCUUGAAACCUAAGUGCUAUGCUGUGAGGAUGCCAAGCAGCCUCGUUGACAGGCCCACAUUGAGCGGAACCAAACCCUGGCCAGCAGCCCCUGCUGCGCCCCUAGCUGACAGCCAGGUUCGACUUGUCUUGCAUACCAGUAUGUCAUCUUGGAGGAGGAUCCCCCAGCCCCAGUAGGGCCAUCUCAGCUGAUGCUCCAAGGAGCAGAGAUGAGCCACCCCCACCAAGCCCUGCAAGAAAGACUGCCAACUAAUCAGAAGGAAGACUUGCAAGUUGGGUUGGGUAUACUGAAAUGUAAACAUGUAGCUACUACUCUUUUUUUUUUUUUUUUGAGACGGAGUCUCGCUCUGUCACCCAGGCUGGAGUGCAGUGGCGCGAUCUCUGCUCACCGCAAGCUCCUCCUCCCGGGUUCACGCCAUUCUCCUGCCUCAGCCUCCCGAGUAGCUGGGAUUACAGGCGCCCGCCACCAUACCCAGCUAAUUUUUGUAUUUUUAGUAGAGAUGGGGUUUCAUCGUGUUAGCCAGGAUGGUCUCAAUCUCCUGACCUCAUGAUCCGCCCGCCUCAGCCUCCCAAAGUGCUGGGAUUAUAGGCGUGAGCCACUGCGCCCGGUCUAAGUUAAUAUCUUUAAAUGUGGUUUGUUAUGCAGCGAUAACAGGAACAUAAAUUAUUUGUCCCCCCAAAUCACUUUAGGGCCUAUCAUGUGCUGGAUUCAUUCGUAUAAUUAUUUGAUUUCAAUUUUUAUAACAAUUCCUUGAGGUGUAGGUAUUAUCAUCUCCACUUUCCCUAUGAGAUACUAAGACUCAGAAAGUUAAAAUAUCUUGUUUGAGGCCAACCAGCUAGGAAAGAUGAAACAGGAAUUCUGAUGCUAAAGCUCAUUCCUCUACCACUGUCAUCAUCAUCCUCAUCGUGGCUGGUGCCAAGUGCUCCUCCUUCCCUCCGGGGUCUUCAGUCACCAGU
RNAcentral lists this non-coding RNA (1548 nucleotides) under Pongo abelii (Sumatran orangutan). Lineage: Eukaryota; Metazoa; Chordata; Mammalia; Primates; Hominidae. The record is from RNAcentral.